AAUAUUCGUGAAGCUGAUACUGUUGGUUGGGAAGAGCAUUCGGCGGCACGUUAUGAAGCAAGAAUUGAGACAGUCACUACACGGACUGUUUGUACCGCAAGUUUACAAUGACAUCGAUCAAUGACCAAUGAGUCGUCUGUUUGCAUGAGUAGGUAAGGUCUGGGCUGGGAGAGACGAGACGACAGUCGAGCGGUACGGAGCCGCGGAGCAGAGCCAAAGCGAGCGAGUCAGUGUGGCAUGAGCCAGUGGCGAGGCAGGGUGUACUGCUCCACUCCGCUGCAUUUUGUUUGUGAACCCCGCUGGGGGAGGUCUGCCCUUUAACUUUCGGCGUCUUCAAACCUCAUGCGACCUCUUGCCGGCGUUGUUGUUAGGUGAACCACGCGGGUCACGGAGGGGAAAAUGCAUCUAUACUGUCCGAGGUGAAAAAGUUUUCGACAGAAAUAAACUUGGAAGAGUAAGAGAGCGUCUCGUAGAGGGUGUGUUGAACGUGUACCUGUGUGUUUACCCUGACCGUCCCGCCUCGGCCCUCCCGCUCACGCCUCUAGAUAUGACCAGAGUCACCCGAGGGAUUAUUAGCGUGAAGAGUGCGUGUCAGGCGUCGGGCACAAGCUAUGGCCCCACUGUGCCUCCUUGAGAAAAGUACAAAUUAAGAGUAUAGUGGGUUUGAAAAGCAGAAAAAAAAAAAAAAGUUGAUGGUCACAGCAAGGACGCUGGGAGGCCGAAGGCGUGAAUAUUGCAUCUUGUGAGCGGCGUGCGUGGCGAGGCCGAGAGGCGCGGCGGCCGAGUGACGAGGAAGUAUGAGGGUCCGCGUGUCGCCGUGGCUGCCCUGGUGGACCUUCUGCUGCGUGUGUCUGCUGCAGAGCGGAGUGACAGAGGCCAAGAGACACAGGAGGCCAGACUACUGCGAGGAUAUAAAGGUGAGUUGACGCGGCGCCUCGGCCCUGGACAGUCCCAAACAGCCAUGCUCGUGAACACUAAGUCGCGUCCAUCCUGAAUGUGGUUCAGUUUGAUGUUGAGGAAAUUUUCAGCCUGGACUGGACUGGACUGGAAGGUGCGUGACAGAACCUUCAAGACAAACCCCGCACCAGCAACAACUUGGAGGGCUUCCAUACUGCUCUUCAAAGUUCUGUAAAACCCGCAUUAACCUUUGUUUUCUUAUCAAAGGACUGAAAGGGAAAUAAUAACGUUCAGAUGGUAUUUCAGCUAUUCAUGUAUUCUUUCAUUCAUAUAAUUGUGUAUCUAUGUAUAUAUUCGUGUGUAUUUUAUCUAUUUAUUAUUUUUGCUUAUCUUUUUUAUGUAUUUAUUUACUACUAUUACUGUAUUGUGUCUAUGUAUUUAUUUACUACUAUUACUGUAUUGUGUCAAGCAUUCGCUGUCCCGUCGCUGCCUCACCAUUCCUCUCCACAUCUGCCUACCACCAGUCUCCUCCUGCCGAUCAUGAGUCUCUGGUGCCAACACACGUACUUUUAGAUAUCGUCAGUCCAUUUAUUGCUAGAUCUGCCCACUGGAAGAACUUCGUCCAUUCUGGUAAUCAUCAGUCACUUGGACAUUCACUCUUCCCCAUUCUGGCACAGUGUCAUGCCCUUUUUGAUUUACCUAUUCUAUUGAUCUACACUACCACUAUCAAUACCAAUAUUAACAACACUGACAAACAUACAAGCAAUCCACCUAGUGUUAUAGUGCAAGAGUUCCAUCCCCCAACAACAACAAAAGGAGAACUGAUCUUUCCAAGCACUCUGUCGGGCAGCGUCCCAGAGUGCGGAGAAACCUACGUACGAGUAUACUUGCCAGACUGUCUCGUGCAAGACCCAAACAUAAAUGCGACUCAGUACAUUCAUGGUAAUCAAAUCCACUGAUGCUCCUUAAUACAAACGGGACUGUGUGAAAAGAAAGAAACAUGUUCCCUACGCUUCUUUCCUUUUCUUUCCAAAUUUCAUCGUAAACUGAGUGAAAUAUGAGAGAUAACUAAUGUAGUUGUUAGUUAUCUACAGAAACAGGGCUGUGUAAAAGACAAAAGAGAUGUUACGAUGUACUUUUCCUUUCCAUCUAAAUAAUUUCGUACAAGAGUGAAAAAAUAAAGGAUAACGGGUGAAAAUGCCCAGAGUUAUUCACAAGUGGUGGAAGCAGGUAGGUUUGUUUGUUCCAGGGACUGCCGCGCGUAGGUCUGAUGGCCUCUUGCAGCUUCCCCUAUGCUCUUAUGUCCUCAUGUUCUUAUGUUCUAGUGGGCAAAGUUUGAUUUAAGUUUGUUUCAACGAGUGUACUUCUUUUUUCUGGUCUAGUCUUAGGUAUCUAGUCUUGAACGCUUGUAUUCCUUUAUUAGAACUAUUUUUAAAGGUCUCAGGGAUAAGUAGUUGGGUUUUCAUGUCUUAGUGGUAGUCGCAGGGUCUGACCGAAGUUCGUGUUUGUUGUCACCGUAAGGGGUUUAAUUCAAUCUAGUCUUAAGCGUCUAUUUCUAAACGCUCUAUUCUCUCAUUAGGAUUAUUUUCAGAGGCCACAGGGAUAAAUAGUCGGGUUUUCAUGUCGUUUCUUAGUUAUAGUACGCGGGGUUUGAUUCAGGCUCGUUUUCUUUUGACUCCUGGUGUGCUUUUAUCCAGUUUAAUCUUUGGCAUCUAUUUCUAAACGCUUUGCUCUCUUAUCAGUACUAAUUUCAAAGGCAGCAGGAAUGAAUAGUGAGGUUUUCAUGUCUAUGCUUUGUUGUAGUGCGCAAGGUUUGACUUUUAUCCUGUCUGGCCUUAAAAAAUACUUCCCUCUUCGUAAAUAUUUUAUUCCCUCAUCAGGGCUACUUUGAAAGGCUACAGGGUAUGAAGUCUGGUUUAUUCAUUCAUGGUUUUGUCUUAUUGAUGGUGCAGAACCCUUAUUGAACACUCAUUACGAUCAGGGAAGUGCACUUGAAAACCCGUAUUAAGUACAAUUAGAGCCGGUUAAAUGUGAAAAAAAAAAAAAGAUAAAAUGAUGAAAGCUUUAGGGAAUACAGUCGCGGAUGUUUCUUGCUCCCGUGUGUGUGUGUGUGUGUGUGUGUGUGUGUGUGUGAGAGACUCUUACUGGUUACUUCUCUUAGUUUCUUAUACAUCGUAAAGCUAGCAUCGUAAAGUCAGUUAUACGAUGCGCACCAUAUUUUGUGGCAUUCUUUUCACUUCUCUGUCAGGUUUUUUAUUUUGUUGCGGGCUUCCCUCCUGUUUGCGUGUGCGUGUCUUUAAUUAGCAGCGCGACGAUGUGUUAUAACUUUUACGACACUUUGAUAUUUUCUUUCAUCAUUCCGAGAGAGAGAGAGAGAAGAGGCGAGAGUUUAGUAGCUAGUCUCCAGAUGCUUGCUAUUAUUUUGUAUAUUUUUAGUUUUACGAGUCUCUC
Scylla paramamosain (green mud crab) is the source of this 3348-nucleotide long non-coding RNA. RefSeq lists it as uncharacterized. NCBI's taxonomy places the organism in Eukaryota, Metazoa, Arthropoda, Malacostraca, Decapoda, Portunidae. The transcript is spliced from 4 exons. The record is from RefSeq and is a predicted model, not a curated record.